GGAAGAUGUUAUGAUUAAAUUCAAUCAAAAAUAUUUAUAACUUUGUAAUAUAAUUCUGGAAUUGUUGUUUGUGUAUAAAGCAUUUGGUAACAAUAAUAAAAAAGGCACAAUAAUUUCAAUGGUCUUGUUAUCAUUGCAAUAGUAAUAUAUUACAGUAUAUCCUUCAUGUCAAAAACAUGGGUAGUGUUUAAAAAGGUAAAUAAUUAUUCUGCAAGGUUUUCACAAAAAUCUAUCACAGUUUUACAUUCAUAGAACAAGUGAGUCAGAUUUUCACCUUUUUAGCAGAAAACGCAGAUAUCAUCAAUAGCCACAAAUUGGGAAACAUAAAAUUACAUGGAUAUAUCUUGUAGAAUCUUAAAGUGCACUUCCUUAAAUUUGUUUGGUAAACAAUAUUUGUAAGGCAUCAACCAAGCUUUAUUCCAGACAAUGUCCUGAUUGUGUGGUGUUGGUCGUGUCUCACUCUUUAAAAUACAUUCUCAAAUAUCAAGAAUUUGUGUAAUGUAACUGAAUUAACUUGAAAAAGAUGCCACGAUAACAGGGUGGAACAAGGUAUAACAGGGUGGACAGCUAUAAACGGGACAGAACAUAAAUGAAACCCUGAAUAGACAUCUACAUAGUAAUAGAUGUAGUAACACCAUUGAAACUGCUAUUUAGUAACAUACAGUUGAAGUCGGAAGUUUACAUACACCUUAGCCAAAAACAUUUAAACUCAGUUUCACAAUUCCUGACAUUUAAUCCUAGUAAAAAUUCCCUGUCUUAGGUCAGUUAGGAUCACCACUUUAUUUUAAAAAUGUGACAUGUCAGAAUAAUAGUAGAGAAAAUUAUUUCUUUCAGAUUUUAUUUCUUUCAUCACAUUCUCAGUAGGUCAGAAGUUUACAUACACUCAAUUAGUAUUUGGUAGCAUUGCCUUUACAUUGUUUACUCGGGUCAAACGUUUCGUGUAGCCUUCCACAAGCUUCCCACAAUUAGUUGGGUGAAUUUUGGCCCAUUCCUCCUGACAGAGCUGGUGUAACUGAGUCAGGUUUGUAGGCCUCCUUGUUCACACACACUUUUCAGUUCUGCCUACACAUUUUCUAAAGGAUUGAGAUCCGGACUUUGUGAUGGCCACUCCAAUACCGUGACUUUGUUGUCCUUAAGCCAUUUUGUCACAACUUUGGAAGUAUGCUUGGGCUCAUUGUCACUUUGGAAGACCCAUUUGCGACCAAGCUUUAACUUCCUGAUUGAUGUCUUGAGAUGUUGCUUCAAUAUAUCCACAAAAUGUUCUUCCUCAUGAUGCCAUCUAUUCUGUGAAGUGCACCAGUCCCUCAUGCAGAAAAGCACCCCCACAACAUGAUGCUGCCACCCCCAUGCUCCAUGGUUGGGACGGUGUUCUUCGGCUUGCAAGCCUCCCCCUUUUUAGUCCAAACAUAACAAUGGUCAUUAUGGCCAAACAGUUCUAUUUUUGUUUCAUCAGACCAGAGGACAUUUCUCCAAAAAGUACAAUCUUUGUCCCCAUGUGCAGUUGCAAACCGUAGUCAGGCUUUUUUUAAUGGCGGUUUUGGAGCAGUGGCUUCUUCCUUGCUGAGCGGCCUUUCAGGUUAUGUUGAUAUAGGACUCGUUUUACUGUGGAUAUAGAUACUUUUGUACCCGUUUCCUCCAGCAUCUUCACAAGGUCCUUUGCUGUUGUUCUGGGAUUGAUUUGCACUUUUCGCACCAAAGUACGUUCAUCUCUAGGAGACAGAACGCGUCUCCUUCCUGAGCAGUAUGAUGGCUGCGUGGUCCCAUGGUGUUUAAACUUGCGUACUAUUGUUUGUACAGAUGAACCUUCAGGCGUUUGGAAAUUGCUCCCAAGGAUGAACCAGACUUGUGAAGGCCUACAACAUCAAUACAUCCACAGGUGGAUCUUUCCAUCUGUACAGAGUGUUUAUUAACAGCCCAUGGCUCUGGCAUCUGACAAAUUAUCUGUCCAUCAGAGUACCAACAAAUAUCUUCCUUUGGACUUGGCCAGAAGAAUUUGUUGAUGCCAUUCAGGUGCAUGCACUUCACCUUAAUGUUAUGUUCCUCUACAUCUAUGAUGAUGCCAGGGUAUCCUUCAUGGUCAUAAUUGACAACACACCACUCCCCUACGUGAUUAAGUUCAAUGGUUCCAGGUCGCCAUGUGGUGUCAGCCUCGUCAUGAGAUGUAGGGAGCUGGUUAGAUGCUGCAGGGUCACCCAGAGUUGCCUCUUUGAGCUGAAAACAAGGACAGUCCAACAUGCCACUAUCCUUCUGCACAGACAAGUAUUUUAUCUGGCCUGGUGAGACACUGAUAACCUGAUUAAUCUUCAUCGUUCCUUUAAUGGCAUCUAAGGCAGGCAUCCGAGAGAAUACUUCAAAAUGAGAAGAUCCUGCCAUGGAAAAGACAACUGGGUGGACAUAAAGUGGAAAGGAGGGGAAAUAACUCACACCAUGCAGCAGGACACUUUCAGCUGCAGGGUCUUUGUAAUGCAG
RNAcentral lists this long non-coding RNA (2469 nucleotides) under Salmo salar (Atlantic salmon). RNAcentral describes it as "lncRNA (ENSSSAG00000090385.1)". Lineage: Eukaryota; Metazoa; Chordata; Actinopteri; Salmoniformes; Salmonidae. The record is from RNAcentral.